RNAcentral lists this ribosomal RNA (1421 nucleotides) under Salmonella enterica subsp. enterica. RNAcentral describes it as "bacterial SSU rRNA". It matches the Rfam family "Bacterial small subunit ribosomal RNA". RNAcentral also lists the same sequence under 1 other name. Lineage: Bacteria; Pseudomonadati; Pseudomonadota; Gammaproteobacteria; Enterobacterales; Enterobacteriaceae. The record is from RNAcentral.
CUGCCUGAUGGAGGGGGAUAACUACUGGAAACGGUGGCUAAUACCGCAUAACGUCGCAAGACCAAAGAGGGGGACCUUCGGGCCUCUUGCCAUCAGAUGUGCCCAGAUGGGAUUAGCUUGUUGGUGAGGUAACGGCUCACCAAGGCGACGAUCCCUAGCUGGUCUGAGAGGAUGACCAGCCACACUGGAACUGAGACACGGUCCAGACUCCUACGGGAGGCAGCAGUGGGGAAUAUUGCACAAUGGGCGCAAGCCUGAUGCAGCCAUGCCGCGUGUAUGAAGAAGGCCUUCGGGUUGUAAAGUACUUUCAGCGGGGAGGAAGGUGUUGUGGUUAAUAACCGCAGCAAUUGACGUUACCCGCAGAAGAAGCACCGGCUAACUCCGUGCCAGCAGCCGCGGUAAUACGGAGGGUGCAAGCGUUAAUCGGAAUUACUGGGCGUAAAGCGCACGCAGGCGGUCUGUCAAGUCGGAUGUGAAAUCCCCGGGCUCAACCUGGGAACUGCAUUCGAAACUGGCAGGCUUGAGUCUUGUAGAGGGGGGUAGAAUUCCAGGUGUAGCGGUGAAAUGCGUAGAGAUCUGGAGGAAUACCGGUGGCGAAGGCGGCCCCCUGGACAAAGACUGACGCUCAGGUGCGAAAGCGUGGGGAGCAAACAGGAUUAGAUACCCUGGUAGUCCACGCCGUAAACGAUGUCUACUUGGAGGUUGUGCCCUUGAGGCGUGGCUUCCGGAGCUAACGCGUUAAGUAGACCGCCUGGGGAGUACGGCCGCAAGGUUAAAACUCAAAUGAAUUGACGGGGGCCCGCACAAGCGGUGGAGCAUGUGGUUUAAUUCGAUGCAACGCGAAGAACCUUACCUGGUCUUGACAUCCACAGAAGAAUCCAGAGAUGGAUUUGUGCCUUCGGGAACUGUGAGACAGGUGCUGCAUGGCUGUCGUCAGCUCGUGUUGUGAAAUGUUGGGUUAAGUCCCGCAACGAGCGCAACCCUUAUCCUUUGUUGCCAGCGGUUAGGCCGGGAACUCAAAGGAGACUGCCAGUGAUAAACUGGAGGAAGGUGGGGAUGACGUCAAGUCAUCAUGGCCCUUACGACCAGGGCUACACACGUGCUACAAUGGCGCAUACAAAGAGAAGCGACCUCGCGAGAGCAAGCGGACCUCAUAAAGUGCGUCGUAGUCCGGAUUGGAGUCUGCAACUCGACUCCAUGAAGUCGGAAUCGCUAGUAAUCGUGGAUCAGAAUGCCACGGUGAAUACGUUCCCGGGCCUUGUACACACCGCCCGUCACACCAUGGGAGUGGGUUGCAAAAGAAGUAGGUAGCUUAACCUUCGGGAGGGCGCUUACCACUUUGUGAUUCAUGACUGGGGUGAAGUCGUAACAAGGUAACCGUAGGGGAACCUGCGGUUGGAUCACCUCCUUACCUUAAAGAA